Molecule: transfer RNA, 71 nt
Filed under: Mahanarva spectabilis
Lineage: Eukaryota; Metazoa; Arthropoda; Insecta; Hemiptera; Cercopidae
Description: tRNA-Lys
Source: RNAcentral
CAUUAAGUAACUUAAAGCAAGUAAUGGUCUCUUAAACCACAAUAUAGUAAAUUAGCAGUUACUCUUAAUGA